UACAGAGGGUGCAAGCGUUAUUCGGAAUCAUUGGGCGUAAAGGGCGCGUAGGCGGCUUGGCAAGUCAAAGGUGAAAUCCCUCGGCCUAACCGAGGAACUGCCUUUGAUACUGCUUGGCUUGAGGCCGGGAGAGGGUAGCGGAAUUCCCAGUGUAGCGGUGAAAUGCGUAGAUAUUGGGAGGAACACCAGUGGCGAAGGCGGCUACCUGGACCGGUUCUGACGCUGAGGCGCGAAAGCGUGGGGAGCAAACAGG
RNAcentral lists this ribosomal RNA (253 nucleotides) under uncultured bacterium. Its description in RNAcentral is "partial 16S ribosomal RNA". It matches the Rfam family "Bacterial small subunit ribosomal RNA", at positions 524 to 776 of the family's 1533-position model. The record is from RNAcentral.